This 541-nucleotide ribosomal RNA is filed under the name uncultured bacterium. RNAcentral describes it as "bacterial SSU rRNA". It matches the Rfam family "Bacterial small subunit ribosomal RNA", at positions 8 to 526 of the family's 1533-position model. The record is from RNAcentral.
AGAGUUUGAUCAUGGCUCAGAACGAACGCUGGCGGCGUACUUAACACAUGCAAGUCGGACGAGAAAGGAGACUUCGGUCUCUGAGUAGAGUGGCGCACGGGUGCGUAACACGUAAGUAGUCUACCCCGAACUCUGGGAUAACCCUCCGAAAGGAGGGCUAAUACUGGAUAGGGUCCCCGAGGUGGAGGCUGCGGGGGGAAAGUGGGCCUCUGCAUAUGCUCACGGUCCGGGAUGAGCUUGCGGCCCAUUAGCUUGUUGGUAGGGUAAUGGCUUACCAAGGCAACGAUGGGUAGCUGGUCUGAGAGGAUGAUCAGCCACACUGGCACUGAGACACGGGCCAGACUCCUACGGGAGGCAGCAGUGGGGAAUUUUGCGCAAUGGGCGAAAGCCUGACGCAGUAACGCCGCGUGGAGGAUGAAGGCCUUCGGGUUGUAAACUCCUGUCAGGGGGAACGACGCAGCCUGGCAGACAAUGCUGGACUUGCAGACGGUACCUCCAAAGGAAGCCCCGGCUAAUUCCGUGCCAGCAGCCGCGGUAAUAC